This 541-nucleotide long non-coding RNA is filed under the name Panicum hallii. Its description in RNAcentral is "long non-coding RNA (PHAL_LNC000463)". Lineage: Eukaryota; Viridiplantae; Streptophyta; Magnoliopsida; Poales; Poaceae. The record is from RNAcentral.
UCAUCCCCUCAUUCCUCUUAUCCUCAUCUCUCAUCCCCUCACUGCAUUCCCCUCUCUGCGCGAAGACGCCGGCCCGGCGAUGGGCGGAGCACGGCGGCAAGGCGUGGGGCCCGUGAGACGUCGCGGAACAGCCGGAGCUAGACACUGGGAGCAGGCGCCUGCGUCCGCUGGCAAGGGUGGCGUCACCAAGGUGCGGAGUAGAACGCCUCGGCGUGCCGUGGGGCCCGCGAGCAGGGGGGAGCGCGGCCUCGGCAAUACAGGGGGAGUGCGGCGGCGGCGGCGGCGGCGACGUGGGGGAGCACGGUAGUGGCGAUGUAGGAAUGGGGAGUGCGAUAUUUUUUAAAUUUUUUCAAAGCAAGUUCCCUAGGUCCAAAGUUUCCUAUACUUUUCCUAGGGUUUUCCGUUAAAACUGUACAACAAUCCUCGUUUCCCAUCAAAUUUAUUCCUACAAGUCUUUCCCUGCCAAAUUUUCUAGGGAGAUGCUUUCCCUAGAGUUUCUCAACCAUUUCCGAUUUUGGCUCUAGGGAAACAAGUCGAAUCC